RNAcentral lists this ribosomal RNA (301 nucleotides) under uncultured bacterium. RNAcentral's name for it is "partial 16S ribosomal RNA". It matches the Rfam family "Bacterial small subunit ribosomal RNA", at positions 509 to 807 of the family's 1533-position model. The record is from RNAcentral.
CAGUAGCCGCGGUAAUACGGAGGGUGCAAGCGUUAAUCGGAAUUACUGGGCGUAAAGCGCACGCAGGCGGUCUGACAAGUCAGAUGUGAAAUCCCCGGGCUUAACCUGGGAACUGCAUUUGAAACUGUCAGGCUGGAGUCUUGUAGAGGGGGGUGGAAUUCCAGGUGUAGCGGUGAAAUGCGUAGAGAUCUGGAGGAAUACCGGUGGCGAAGGCGGCCCCCUGGACAAAGACUGACGCUCAGGUGCGAAAGCGUGGGGAGCAAACAGGAUUAGAUACCCGAGUAGUCCUUGUCUCUUAUAC